UUCCAUCGCUUUUACUCCUGUUCUCCUCCUUCCGUAAAAAAAAAAAAUAUUCUCCAUCUUCACACUUUCACAGAGAAUACUCUUUCAGAUGUGUGAAAAAUAGAUAGCAUAUUUAGUUAGAUUUUUUCAUAUUAUAUACGCUAAAAUCCUCUCCUCUAUCUGGAAUUAGCUAAUUUUGAGUUUUCCUCUAACACCUCUUUGUUUUAAACCUUUUUCCUUUCUGCUAUAUGUAAUGGCAGGGGAAGAUCACCAUUCACCAGAGUAGGGAAAGUAUGUCAAAUACACAUCAGUAUUUCAUAUAAUCAGGCUAGCAAAAUCUAUCGUUUCAGAAUGGAGCGCAUAUAUCUUUGUUGGAUGCUCGAGAUGAGUUAGCUCCAUACAAAAUCGAGCUAAAGGGAAAAUUAGACUAUCUUGAUAUUAUAUUGGUCUCAAAAUCUGUCAUACCCGAUCAAUGAUGGUUGUAGGGAUGACCUUGGUCCGCUAGAGCCUAGAAAGUGAAAAGGCAUCUGAAAGUAGUUUUAUUUUCUAAAGAUCAUUGUUUAUGCGAACUGAUAACUUGGAUACGAUAUUAUUUAUUGUGCUAA
Molecule: long non-coding RNA, 584 nt
Organism: Nicotiana tabacum (common tobacco)
Lineage: Eukaryota; Viridiplantae; Streptophyta; Magnoliopsida; Solanales; Solanaceae
Source: RefSeq, a predicted model, not a curated record